UCUUGGAUUUAAAACCGUAUCAGUUAGUCAACUUUAUUAAUACCGGAAAAAAAGUCUUCAACAAAAUCCGUGGACAUUACAUUACUUAAAUGGAUUAGAUUUGAUAAAGAAAAAACACUUUUGUUACAGAAUAUAUGCCAGAACCAUAUACAGAAAAAAGUACUAAAUUUAUGUAUGAUUUGAUGAGACGUAAAGAAGCUCCACAUGAAAGCUGGCUAGAAUAUAGCACUCAGAUAGUAGAACAUGCAGAUACUUAUGAGUAAGCUGUUGAGAGGCUUACUGUUUUGAGAAUAGAAGAAUUCGCUUACACCACAGAUCCGGAAAUGAAUAAAAAAAACAAAACAA
Leptopilina boulardi is the source of this 345-nucleotide long non-coding RNA. RefSeq lists it as uncharacterized. The record is from RefSeq and is a predicted model, not a curated record. The transcript is spliced from 2 exons. Lineage: Eukaryota; Metazoa; Arthropoda; Insecta; Hymenoptera; Figitidae.